GGAAUAUAUUUUAAAUUACGUGGAAAAUCAAGAGAUAAUGAUAAAAUUUCAAAACAUAUAAACAUAUGGAUUCAUAAUCUAUUCACAUCCAUAUUCAAAUGGUCUGAAUCUAUCCUGUGAGAUACUUGAUCCCAUCGCUACAAUGAUACCACGAAUAGGAGGAAACAGAGGGGAGAGGAUCGGUCAGUUCUCCCUGUGUCGGUGUUCGCGCCACAGAUUGCAUCAGCACGCCCUUAAUCCUAUUAUGACUAAGUAAUGACUCCUUAGUAUGCCGACUCGAGAACCGUAAAAAUGUUGUGUCAGAUGCUAUCUGACUGGUUGUCGUUUGGUAAUUUACCAUACGUCCAGCAUCGGCUAAAGGUCAGACCGCUUUUACGCUUGAUUCACGGCUUCCGAAGAAGUCUUCUCUCCUUCUAUGGCGGUCGUAACUAUGGAAAGAUUAGCGUAGUGAGAUUAUGAUUUAUGAUUUUCAAGCAGUUCAUGAGAAUUUUGUAUUAAAAGAGUAGAAAGUCGAAGUUAAUAUAUAUUGUGAUAUUAUGAACUGCAUCGAUAUCACUAUAAUGUUAAAAAUAAUAAAAUUAUUCAAAUUAGUAUUAAAGUUUAGAAUAUUUAGUGAAUAUCUAGAAAUUGAAAAAAACGAUGGAAUAAAUAUUUGAAAAUUACGCUGAUACUUUCAAAAUAGUCCAGUUUAUCUUGUUAAGCACAUUUGUUGAAAAAAUGGCAUGACUCAAAAUUUGCUUUUAUCGAAUUAAUUCUUUGUCACGAAGAAUGAACAUUGCUUAAGAAACAUCAAGCAAUCACUACUGAAAAGAAACAGAAAAAGAGAAAGAGAGAGAAGGAACGAUGGUAUUUAUAGGUCGUUCGAAUUCUAUGGAUCUCGAAGGGAACACGACAAGUAAUAAGUUUCGUUUAAGUCUGAGCAAUCAGAUAACGAUCGGAAUUUUGCGGCGAGAAGAAAGAGGGAAUCGAGAGAGAAGGAGAGAUUGUGUAUCCAAUCUACUUGUAAUUAUAUGCAACGGAAUCUGGUAUAUAAGGAUUGUUUAACGGUAAACGAUGAAUUGGUGCAAAUAGCAGGAAUGAACAGCUAUUUAACGAAAUUGCUAUGAACCAUCUGAUUAAGGGGAUUGCUUUGAAGUACACGUGUGUAUUGUGUAAUAACUGAUGAACAGGGGAAUACAUUCACCAGAUAUUGCGUCCCUUGAACAAGUUGUGCAUAAAUGAAUGAAUGGAGAUAAAUUUUAUGGAUGAUUUUUCAAAAAGGAUUAUUGUAAAGAGUAAUACAUAUUUGAGAGAUAUUGAAUAAUAAAGUAAAAAACUGUGAAGUAAAUAAUUGAAUAAAUAAUCAAGUAAGAAUUUUUGGAAAAUGUUGAAAGAAAGAGAGGAGUUAAAAAAAUUGAACGAAAGAAUGCUGUUAUUAGGUCAAUCAAUAUUUAAAUAAAAUUGAUGUAUUGAUGAAAAAGAAAAUGACUAUAAUUAAGAGAUAAAAAAACAACAUCAAAGCCGCAAUGAGAGUCGUAAAGAUGAGCCAACAGAACCAUAAAAGCAACGCAGAACAAUAAAUCUAAUAUCUCGUAAAACUCUGGUUGCCUCUUUCCAUCAUCAACGAUUAGGAAUGAUUCUCGAGAGCUUCUUAAUAAUGAAUGAUCCCAAAUCCAUCAAAACUCGGAACGAAAAUAUCCUAUCCUAUCCGUGAAGAAAGGAGUCCUCGAAAAAAAUAUGUAAAAGGGUCCACCAGAAACCAGUUCAGAUUUAUCGCUUCCGGUAUAGUGAAAAAUAUGAAGCAAAUUAACAUGCCCAAGUAAUAUUGUUACGAUGAUUUAUGGGUGAAAACACGAGGAAGCUGUCCAACGUCAUUUUAAGCGGCAAAGAGAAUGCGAAUUUGCAAGAAACUAAGCCGACUGCAUACCAACGAGCCUGAAACCCAAGAAAGCCGAUCUUUCCGCAAUAUCUUCACCGCCUUAAUUCCCUGCGAAUCUCAUGAAAAAAAGGCGCGAACAUCGUCCAAAGGGAUUUAAACGGCUACUUAUCCUCGUUCGGUUUGGUUUGUAAUAAACCAGGAAAGAAGAUAUAAAGAAAAAAAUGGAUGUGAUAAAACGUGUAAGUUUAUAAGUUCACGUGUUUUGAGAUAGAGAUAGAACUCGAGUGACAUAAGUAUUUGAAUGAUUUUAAAAUUCAUUCAACUCAAAAAAACAUUUCGAUAAAAAAGAAUUGUUUCAAAAACUUAUUUUCUUCAACUUUAAUCAAGCAAUCACACAUUGCAAUCAAUUACUAAUACAAAAAAUAAUUGGAGACAACAUACAGAGCCGCUGUGUUACAAUAGUUGUUACUGAAACGAGUUCAAAUCACGUUGCUCUAAGGAUGCUUUUAAUUUGAAAGCAAAUUCUCCAAGAUAAUGUAUGAACUUGGCAAUGGUAACAUUGAAAGGAUAAUGUACCAACUUUGUCUACCCUUAAAAAACGUUGACCGAGAAGAAAGAAGAAUGAUGGACGUUCAACCCGAAUAGUUUUCCAGAUGUCAUCCCUUUCUCGAGAUUCACAACGAGGCGAAUUGUCAGCUUUGCGAAAUGGAAAAAAAAAAAACAAAAAGAAAAAAAGAAAAAAUAAAUAUUACGACUGUGUUACGAACGUGGUUUACCGGUAGCUAACACGUAGAAGCUACUCUUUGUACGUGGAAUAGUUACGAGUUCUUCGGGUUCUGUUUAAUAUGCAUGGAAACGCGCCUCUUAGAGCAUAUGCUUUCAUAUGUUUACCGCUUCCAAUUUCUCAUUGUUAUCAAAACUACUGACUUAAACGAUAUUCUUGUAUGGAGGAAGAGUGAAAGAACGAGUUCGAAAGUUACAGAGAAAAUAAUAAUGGAUUAAAUAAAAAAAAGAAACUCGAAUUUUUCUAAAGGUAUUUUUCAAAGCAAGAAGACUGACAAAACCUAAAAUGGACAGGAUAGGAUCCAAGAUUCUUCAAGAAAAAAAUGCUCAAGAUCAAUCAUUUGUUCAAUUCACAUUCAAUUGCCUCUUUAGAGAUAAGGAAAGCUUGAGCAACUGAGCAACCUAAAGAUGUCGCAUAUCCUUAAAUCAUCUUAUCUAUUCAAAGCUUAUUAUUCACACGCUUUAAACGACGUCUAAAGUGCAGUGACAUCUUUUUUUGACUGUCACGCCUUUAUCGCGUUCAGUUUUACGCGACUACUCGUAUCGAUCUGACAGUGGCGUAAAAGCCAUGACAGAAUACCAUCAGCGACCAUCUUCGCGGAAUCCUAAGAAACUUAGUUAGUCAGGAACCCUCUGUGUUGCGUAUCGGAGUCAGCAGCCCGUUGCUGGAUGACAAAUCGUUGGUUGGCCGAGCUGACAGCUAACAUCCAUUGACCGUUUUACAACUUGAUAAAUCGUAACACGGAGGAUCUUCUCGUUAUAACAGAUGGUGUACGCGUUAAGUGUCUAUUUUUUAAAAUUACUUCUUUAUUUAAGGAUCUUUAUUUUUUUGAUCUUGUUCAAAUCAUUGGAACCGAUGAAAUAAUGCAACAUAUUAUUCUACAAUACAAAUUAAAAUUUUCUGAUAACAAAAUUCUAAGUAAUUCAAUAAAAUAUAAAAUACAAAUUGAUA
This 3593-nucleotide long non-coding RNA is filed under the name Apis mellifera (honey bee). Its description in RNAcentral is "uncharacterized LOC102654810, transcript variant X3". The record is from RNAcentral. Lineage: Eukaryota; Metazoa; Arthropoda; Insecta; Hymenoptera; Apidae.